Non-coding RNA from Salvia hispanica, 434 nucleotides. The record is from RefSeq and is a predicted model, not a curated record. Lineage: Eukaryota; Viridiplantae; Streptophyta; Magnoliopsida; Lamiales; Lamiaceae.
GGUUAGAACCCUUUGCCAUUUCAAGGGUUACACCUCCACUUUCUCAACAACAACUUCGCACACAAGAGAUACAAUUAAACCCUCUAUUGAUCGAGGUUUCCCCUUCACGCCUCUUUCUCUCUCCUCCUAUACAUACGACGCACAGUGCCCGUAUAUAUCUAUUGUUUUGUACAGUGCCAGACCCGCUGGAUGUGCAAGCGUGCGCUGCGUUGACGGAGGACUAGAUGGCGAGUAUUAGAUCGAGCUUGCCGUCGAGGCUUCGGCAACUCCUCUCUAGUGAAGGGGCAAUCGGCCCCUCUCUUAAACUUGACGCAGAGCCUUUGUAGUAUCAGGAUGAGGGAUUGGAUUGAGGUUUGGUGAUAAGUUGGAUUUUAAUUUGAAGUAACACAUUAGGUCAUUUAUUUGUUAAAUUUAGUGGAUGGGGUUUGGAAGGA